RNAcentral lists this non-coding RNA (96 nucleotides) under Clostridium acetireducens. RNAcentral describes it as "Glycine sequence". It matches the Rfam family "Glycine riboswitch aptamer". Rfam says of the family: This family represents the bacterial glycine riboswitch. Glycine riboswitches usually consist of two metabolite-binding aptamers domains with similar structures in tandem. The record is from RNAcentral. Lineage: Bacteria; Bacillati; Bacillota; Clostridia; Eubacteriales; Clostridiaceae. RNAcentral also lists the same sequence under 1 other name.
GGACGAAACUCUGGAGAGACUCGAAAGAGCACCGAAGGAGCAAGUGAGUAUAUUAUUACUCGCGAAACUCUCAGGUAAAAGGACAGAGGCGCUUUA